Molecule: ribosomal RNA, 389 nt
Filed under: uncultured bacterium
Lineage: Bacteria
Description: bacterial SSU rRNA
Rfam family: Bacterial small subunit ribosomal RNA
Source: RNAcentral
GACGAACGCUGGCGGCGUGCUUAACACAUGCAAGUCGAGCGGUAGGGCCCUUUCGGGGGUACACGAGCGGCGAACGGGUGAGUAACACGUGGGUGACCUGCCCUCAGCUCUGGGAUAAGCCUGGGAAACCGGGUCUAAUACUGGAUAUGACUCCAUGACGCAUGUUGUGGGGUGGAAAGCCUUGUGCGGCUGAGGAUGGGGCCCGCGGCCUAUCAGCUUGUUGGUGGGGUGANGGCCUACCAAGGCGACGACGGGUAGCCGGCCUGAGAGGGCGACCGGCCACACUGGGACUGAGACACGGCCCAGACUCCUACGGGAGGCAGCAGUGGGGAAUCUUGCGCAAUGGGCGAAAGCCUGACGCAGCGACGCCGCGUGAGGGAUGACGGCCU